CGCGCACGUCCGCUCACCGUAUUGUCUUGUGUAGCUCUUUGCACCUCUUCUUCGCAGCUCCUGGAGCUCGCAUUUCAUCUUCCUGAGCAGCGUGUACCAGCCCUUUCUUGGCAAACCAGCUCCACUCCCACAGCUGCAGGAAGAGCACUGAUGCUUCACUGAUGACAGGACCGCACAACAAACCAAAUGCCAACUCUUGCAUUAUUGAUGGAUGACGUGCAUCAACGUGUGUUCUAGUUUCUUUUCUGCAGGGAGAUGGCUGCUGUGAUCUUUGAGGUACUCCGCCCUGAAGCCGUCCAGGGACACCAGGAUGAGAGGAGGUCUGGAAAAACUGGGUGGAGGGGGACAGACAGGAAAAAUGAUGCUGUGAGCUUACACUGAGGUGGAAGAGAGCAAGCGAGCCAGCAAGAGAGAGAGAUAGAGGGAGACCUGGAUUGGACAUGCUCCUGGGAAAGACGUGGUCUUUGUGGGUUGUAAA
This is a long non-coding RNA of Cheilinus undulatus (humphead wrasse), 478 nucleotides long. RefSeq lists it as uncharacterized. The record is from RefSeq and is a predicted model, not a curated record. NCBI's taxonomy places the organism in Eukaryota, Metazoa, Chordata, Actinopteri, Labriformes, Labridae. The transcript has 4 exons.